RNAcentral lists this long non-coding RNA (232 nucleotides) under Ananas comosus (pineapple). RNAcentral describes it as "long non-coding RNA (ACOM_LNC042425)". The record is from RNAcentral. Lineage: Eukaryota; Viridiplantae; Streptophyta; Magnoliopsida; Poales; Bromeliaceae.
ACCGAGUGUGUACCACUAGUUCAACUUCGGAUCGAAGUACCCACCUAUAUCAGUGUCGUGCCUAUCUCCGAACUAUACAAGAUCGUCAACCAGACCUACCGAGGGUCCAUCGGGUCAGUGUCCAAUCUACUAAUCCACAAUACACAACUCACAAACCCCACACAUUUUCCAUGGAAUCGAUUUCCCAAAAUUAAUCACCGUAACUCGCUAAAAAUCCCGAAAAUCACACCGG